This 2242-nucleotide ribosomal RNA is filed under the name Escherichia coli. Its description in RNAcentral is "partial 23S ribosomal RNA". It matches the Rfam family "Bacterial large subunit ribosomal RNA", at positions 723 to 2925 of the family's 2925-position model. Lineage: Bacteria; Pseudomonadati; Pseudomonadota; Gammaproteobacteria; Enterobacterales; Enterobacteriaceae. The record is from RNAcentral.
CGGUGAUCUAGCCAUGGGCAGGUUGAAGGUUGGGUAACACUAACUGGAGGACCGAACCGACUAAUGUUGAAAAAUUAGCGGAUGACUUGUGGCUGGGGGUGAAAGGCCAAUCAAACCGGGAGAUAGCUGGUUCUCCCCGAAAGCUAUUUAGGUAGCGCCUCGUGAAUUCAUCUCCGGGGGUAGAGCACUGUUUCGGCAAGGGGGUCAUCCCGACUUACCAACCCGAUGCAAACUGCGAAUACCGGAGAAUGUUAUCACGGGAGACACACGGCGGGUGCUAACGUCCGUCGUGAAGAGGGAAACAACCCAGACCGCCAGCUAAGGUCCCAAAGUCAUGGUUAAGUGGGAAACGAUGUGGGAAGGCCCAGACAGCCAGGAUGUUGGCUUAGAAGCAGCCAUCAUUUAAAGAAAGCGUAAUAGCUCACUGGUCGAGUCGGCCUGCGCGGAAGAUGUAACGGGGCUAAACCAUGCACCGAAGCUGCGGCAGCGACACUGUGUGUUGUUGGGUAGGGGAGCGUUCUGUAAGCCUGUGAAGGUGUGCUGUGAGGCAUGCUGGAGGUAUCAGAAGUGCGAAUGCUGACAUAAGUAACGAUAAAGCGGGUGAAAAGCCCGCUCGCCGGAAGACCAAGGGUUCCUGUCCAACGUUAAUCGGGGCAGGGUGAGUCGACCCCUAAGGCGAGGCCGAAAGGCGUAGUCGAUGGGAAACAGGUUAAUAUUCCUGUACUUGGUGUUACUGCGAAGGGGGGACGGAGAAGGCUAUGUUGGCCGGGCGACGGUUGUCCCGGUUUAAGCGUGUAGGCUGGUUUUCCAGGCAAAUCCGGAAAAUCAAGGCUGAGGCGUGAUGACGAGGCACUACGGUGCUGAAGCAACAAAUGCCCUGCUUCCAGGAAAAGCCUCUAAGCAUCAGGUAACAUCAAAUCGUACCCCAAACCGACACAGGUGGUCAGGUAGAGAAUACCAAGGCGCUUGAGAGAACUCGGGUGAAGGAACUAGGCAAAAUGGUGCCGUAACUUCGGGAGAAGGCACGCUGAUAUGUAGGUGAAGUCCCUCGCGGAUGGAGCUGAAAUCAGUCGAAGAUACCAGCUGGCUGCAACUGUUUAUUAAAAACACAGCACUGUGCAAACACGAAAGUGGACGUAUACGGUGUGACGCCUGCCCGGUGCCGGAAGGUUAAUUGAUGGGGUCAGCGCAAGCGAAGCUCUUGAUCGAAGCCCCGGUAAACGGCGGCCGUAACUAUAACGGUCCUAAGGUAGCGAAAUUCCUUGUCGGGUAAGUUCCGACCUGCACGAAUGGCGUAAUGAUGGCCAGGCUGUCUCCACCCGAGACUCAGUGAAAUUGAACUCGCUGUGAAGAUGCAGUGUACCCGCGGCAAGACGGAAAGACCCCGUGAACCUUUACUAUAGCUUGACACUGAACAUUGAGCCUUGAUGUGUAGGAUAGGUGGGAGGCUUUGAAGUGUGGACGCCAGUCUGCAUGGAGCCGACCUUGAAAUACCACCCUUUAAUGUUUGAUGUUCUAACGUGGACCCGUGAUCCGGGUUGCGGACAGUGUCUGGUGGGUAGUUUGACUGGGGCGGUCUCCUCCUAAAGAGUAACGGAGGAGCACGAAGGUUGGCUAAUCCUGGUCGGACAUCAGGAGGUUAGUGCAAUGGCAUAAGCCAGCUUGACUGCGAGCGUGACGGCGCGAGCAGGUGCGAAAGCAGGUCAUAGUGAUCCGGUGGUUCUGAAUGGAAGGGCCAUCGCUCAACGGAUAAAAGGUACUCCGGGGAUAACAGGCUGAUACCGCCCAAGAGUUCAUAUCGACGGCGGUGUUUGGCACCUCGAUGUCGGCUCAUCACAUCCUGGGGCUGAAGUAGGUCCCAAGGGUAUGGCUGUUCGCCAUUUAAAGUGGUACGCGAGCUGGGUUUAGAACGUCGUGAGACAGUUCGGUCCCUAUCUGCCGUGGGCGCUGGAGAACUGAGGGGGGCUGCUCCUAGUACGAGAGGACCGGAGUGGACGCAUCACUGGUGUUCGGGUUGUCAUGCCAAUGGCACUGCCCGGUAGCUAAAUGCGGAAGAGAUAAGUGCUGAAAGCAUCUAAGCACGAAACUUGCCCCGAGAUGAGUUCUCCCUGACCCUUUAAGGGUCCUGAAGGAACGUUGAAGACGACGACGUUGAUAGGCCGGGUGUGUAAGCGCAGCGAUGCGUUGAGCUAACCGGUACUAAUGAACCGUGAGGCUUAACCUUACAACGCCGAAGGUGUUU